This 517-nucleotide ribosomal RNA is filed under the name uncultured bacterium. RNAcentral describes it as "bacterial SSU rRNA". It matches the Rfam family "Bacterial small subunit ribosomal RNA", at positions 29 to 518 of the family's 1533-position model. The record is from RNAcentral.
ACGAACGCUGGCGGCGUGCCUAAUACAUGCAAGUCGAACGGCUUUUCUAUGGAAGCUUGCUUCCACUGAGAAGAUAGUGGCGAACGGGUGAGUAACACGUGGGUAACCUGCCCAUAAGAGGGGGAUAACAUCCGGAAACGGGUGCUAAUACCGCAUAGUUUUCUUGAUUGCAUGAUUGAGAAAGGAAAGACGGCCUUUGUGCUGUCGCUUAUGGAUGGACCCGCGGCGUAUUAGUUAGUUGGUGAGGUAACGGCUCACCAAGACGAUGAUACGUAGCCGACCUGAGAGGGUGAUCGGCCACAUUGGGACUGAGACACGGCCCAAACUCCUACGGGAGGCAGCAGUAGGGAAUCUUCCGCAAUGGACGAAAGUCUGACGGAGCAACGCCGCGUGAGUGAAGAAAGGGUUUUCGGAUCGUAAAACUCUGUUGUCAGAGAAGAACAAGUUGGAGAGUAACUGCUCCAGCCUUGACGGUAUCUGACCAGAAAGCCACGGCUAACUACGUGCCAGCCGCAGC